CAAAUGCUCAUUUCCCCUGCCUUCUGAGACUGCACCUUACCUUUGCAGCGUGGGAGCAGAGUCCCAGAGAAUCCCCUUUGUGUAGCACAUCCAUCUGAUUUUCUAGGCCGUCUUCAAUUCCUUGGAUAUCAGAUGUCUUAUAUACACACAGAAAAACACACAACGCAAAGUUAAGUUUAUUGAAUCACUAGAAAACAGAGAAUUACACGACACUGCCAGCACCAUGGAGGCUUUCUGCGCUGCCUGGAGAAGCUGUGUAGGUGUGAGACAGGAUCCUGGCUGGAUGUACUGCUGUCACUGUUGUGAAAUUCUUAAUAAUUUAUGAACAAGGGACCCUAUAUUUCAUUUUGCACUGGCCUAUAAAUUAUGUUUCUGGUCAUGCGCCUACCUAGUCAUGCCGCCUCCUCCAAAGUAACCUUUACCUAACUUUGAUGGGCUAACUCUUCUGUAUAGUUUUAUCACCACAGUAUGAUAUGUUAUGGUUUAUUUUACUUCUGAA
RNAcentral lists this long non-coding RNA (499 nucleotides) under Capra hircus (goat). RNAcentral describes it as "lncRNA (ENSCHIG00010007199.1)". The record is from RNAcentral. Lineage: Eukaryota; Metazoa; Chordata; Mammalia; Artiodactyla; Bovidae.